GACGAACCGUGCAAACGUUGUUCGGAUUCAUUGGGCGUAAAGGGUGCGUAGGUGGCGCUGUAAGUCGGGUGUGAAAUUUCGGAGCUUAACUCCGAAACUGCAUUCGAUACUGCGGUGCUCGAGGACUGGAGAGGAGACUGGAAUUCAUGGUGUAGCAGUGAAAUGCGUAGAGAUCAUGAGGAAGACCAGUGGCGAAGGCGGGUCUCUGGACAGUUCCUGACACUGAGGCACGAAGGCCAGGGGAGCAAACGGG
RNAcentral lists this ribosomal RNA (253 nucleotides) under uncultured bacterium. Its description in RNAcentral is "partial 16S ribosomal RNA". It matches the Rfam family "Bacterial small subunit ribosomal RNA", at positions 524 to 776 of the family's 1533-position model. The record is from RNAcentral.